GACGAACGCUGGCGGCGUGCUUAACACAUGCAAGUCGAACGCUGAAGCUUGGUGCUUGCUCUGGGUGGGUGAGUGGCGAACGGGUGAGUAAUACGUGAGUAACCUGCCCUUGACUCUGGGAUAAGCCUGGGAAACUGGGUCUAAUACUGGAUGUGACAUGCCACUGCAUGGUGGUGUGGGGAAAGGGUUUUACUGGUUUUGGAUGGGCUCACGGCCUAUCAGCUUGUUGGUGGGGUAAUGGCCUACCAAGGCGACGACGGGUAGCCGGCCUGAGAGGGUGACCGGCCACACUGGGACUGCGACACGGCCCAGACUCCUACGGGAGGCAGCAGUGGGGAAUAUUGCACAAUGGGCGGAAGCCUGAUGCAGCGACGCCGCGUGAGGGAUGACGGCCUUCGGGUUGUAAACCUCUUUCAGCACGGAAGAAGCGAGAGUGACGGUACGUGCAGAAGAAGCGCCGGCUAACUACGUG
Molecule: ribosomal RNA, 472 nt
Filed under: uncultured bacterium
Lineage: Bacteria
Description: partial 16S ribosomal RNA
Rfam family: Bacterial small subunit ribosomal RNA
Source: RNAcentral